CAUGAGCAGCCCAGGGGCCACGUGAGUUGCUGGUGCCCAGGAGCACACAGACAGCAUACAGAAAGAGCAUUUUCUAGAGGAAGCAGAGACACGACUGACCGAGUCCCAGCAACUCAUAUGCAGUUCUCCUCCCAGUUCUUGAGUAAUUAUUGCCACAGUGAUAAUGACUGGGCCAUGUUGCUAUCAGUAACAGUGAGAGAUUGGAAUAUUGUUCGCAAACAGAGUGGUAUCUGCUGGACACUAAGGACUGCUAUAAAU
Sorex araneus (European shrew) is the source of this 258-nucleotide small nucleolar RNA. The record is from Ensembl. NCBI's taxonomy places the organism in Eukaryota, Metazoa, Chordata, Mammalia, Eulipotyphla, Soricidae.